CUCAUAGGCCGGUCCACGGAAACCCGCCCACUGCAGUAAGCUAAAUACAUAACCCACCAAAUCAAUAAAAUUUCGACAGCAUAACAUGACUAAUAUAAUAUUACCAGCCUGUCAAGGUAAAGAAAAACAGUUCAUAUAUUCAACACAAACACAAAUCCAGCCAUGUUUGCCAUCACAUUGUCAUAAGCCAUCAAUUCAAACCAUAUGUCAAAACAUAUAUAUAACACAAGUAUACAGUCUCCACUUACUCAAUUUCCAAAACCAGUAUUCAAUUUCAAAACAAGUUAUAAAUCUCAUUUCGUUUCAUCAACACUUCAAUUAUAAAACAUAAUAGUUUGCAAUUUAAAUUCAUUUUUCUUUAAAACAUAAAAAGGAGUAUAAACUACUUUAGAUAGUUAAGAUGAAAGUCUGAUUACUCACAAUAGUAGGAGUUUGGAGUACUCCUAUUCUUGGUCCUCGGGCACAAUAUCUUUACCCUUAUUAAAGGGCUCACCACCUAGAUAUAAUACACGACACGUAAUUCAAUAUAUUUGUGCCAAACUGUUCUAAAACUAUUUCAGGCUCUAUAUGAAUGCGUGACAUUGAAUGAGAAUUGUCCGAAUAAUCACUUAAGGACAGUGUUCUACAUGGGUUCAAUUAUGAUCGGACUGAAUUGGCAUUCGACCUAACUCACACUAUGCCUUGUUUAAUUAGCCAAAACAUCAUAUUCAACUCCAAAUAUCUUCAUUACACUUUCAAUAUUCCAAAUACACCAAAGUAUCUCAAUGAGCUUAAUUGUGACUUAAUUCACCGUAAUCGAAAUUCAUUCCGAUUUCGAUAUCCGAUACCAUAAAUCAUCAAUUCCUAGCUAAAUAACAUGAUUUACAACAAAAUCCAUCAUCAACAUGCCCUAUAGAAAAUUCGACCAAAUGAGGGUGGUUGAAGAACAUGCGAUUUUCUUGCUUGUUUUUCCUUCCAAACAUCACAAAAUGACUAAAAACACUAGGAUAUUAUGAAAUCUAGAAAAAUUUAUCACUAAAACUUCUCUCUCUAGAUUUGGCCAGCAAAGGUUCCCUCUUCAAAACUUGAAUUUCAGCCAUGAAGAGUGAAAAAGAAUGCAUGGAAAAGGUAGAUCACAAGCUAAAAUAAAAAAAUCUUACCUUUACUUGCUUGAUUCCUUGAAAUCCAACAAUUUCUCUUGGAUUUUUCCUUCCUAGGGUUUGUUCUUCUCUUUUUCUCUUUGUUGCC
Molecule: long non-coding RNA, 1227 nt
Filed under: Theobroma cacao (cacao)
Lineage: Eukaryota; Viridiplantae; Streptophyta; Magnoliopsida; Malvales; Malvaceae
Description: long non-coding RNA (TCAC_LNC003234)
Source: RNAcentral